AAUGCUUUCUUGACCACUUACAAGAGCCAUCAGCCUUGGUAACGAGAUUGGCUCUUGGAUGAAUGAAGGCCUUAGAUCUAGAUUAGGGAUCUUAAAAAUUAAGGGUGGAAAUGUAGCCACCCUUCUACAAGCCUCCAUUCAAUUGUAUAAGAGAGGCUUGGUUUUCCAAGCCCUCUCUCUCUCGUCUUUUUAGUGAAGGGCAAAGCCAUGCCAAAAUUUGGCCAAAACCCUAAUCUUAAUUUUAUUUAGAUGUUAAUUCUCAUUGUGAACCUUGUGAUUGUAUAUGUAUGGAUUUUGAAUUGUGAAGGAUGGUCAUUAAGUUUUAAAAUAGGUUUCAUUGAAGUAGAUAUCUCUUCGGCCUUUCAAAUAUCCCAAGGGUUUUAAGUGCCUCGGAUUUUCUUCAAUCAGUCACUCAACUUCUAUUUUUUCAAUGUGAGAUUCUGAAUAGUUGUAGCU
Molecule: long non-coding RNA, 456 nt
Filed under: Physcomitrium patens
Lineage: Eukaryota; Viridiplantae; Streptophyta; Bryopsida; Funariales; Funariaceae
Description: long non-coding RNA (PPAT_LNC000771)
Source: RNAcentral